ACGGACUUAACCGAAAUAUUUAUAUUUUGGAGCGGUUAGUGGCGGACUGGUGAGUAACGCGUAAGCAAUCUGCCUAUUAGAGGGGAAUAACAGUGAGAAAUCACUGCUAAUACCGCAUAUGCCAUGAACAUCGCAUGAUGAAAAUGGGAAAGGAGUAAUCCGCUAAUAGAUGAGCUUGCGUCUGAUUAACUAGUUGGUGUGGUAAUGGCAUACCAAGGUAACGAUCAGUAGCCGGACUGAGAGGUUGAACGGCCACAUUGGGACUGAGAUACGGCCCAGACUCCUACGGGAGGCAGCAGUCGGGAAUAUUGCGCAAUGGAGGAAACUCUGACGCAGUGACGCCGCGUAUAGGAUGAAGGUUUUCGGAUUGUAAACUAUUGUCAUUAGGGAAGAUAAAAGACAGUACCUAAGGAGGAAGCUCCGGCUAACUACGUGCCAGCAGCCGCGGUAAUACGUAGGGAGCAAGCGUUAUCCGGAUUUAUUGGGUGUAAAGAGUGCGUAGACGGGAGAUUAAGUUAGUUGUGAAAGCCCUCGGCUUAACUGAGGAAUUGCAACUAAAACUGGUUUUCUUGAGUGCAGGAGAGGUAAGUGGAAUUCCUAGUGUAGCGGUGAAAUGCGUAGAUAUUAGGAGGAACACCAGUGGCGAAGGCGACUUACUGGACUGUAACUGACGUUGAGGCACGAAAGUGUGGGGAGCA
This 698-nucleotide ribosomal RNA is filed under the name uncultured bacterium. Its description in RNAcentral is "bacterial SSU rRNA". It matches the Rfam family "Bacterial small subunit ribosomal RNA", at positions 62 to 770 of the family's 1533-position model. The record is from RNAcentral.